GUCUGGAAAGGCGCGCGAUACGGGUGACAGCCCCGUACACAAAAGCGCAUGUGCUGUGAGCUCGAUGAGUAGGGCGGGACACGUGGUAUCCUGUCUGAAUAUGGGGGGACCAUCCUCCAAGGCUAAAUACUCCUGACUGACCGAUAGUGAACCAGUACCGUGAGGGAAAGGCGAAAAGAACCCCGGCGAGGGGAGUGAAAAAGAACCUGAAACCGUGUACGUACAAGCAGUGGGAGCACCCUUUGGGGUGUGACUGCGUACCUUUUGUAUAAUGGGUCAGCGACUUAUAUUCUGUAGCAAGGUUAACCGUAUAGGGGAGCCGAAGGGAAACCGAGUCUUAACCG
Molecule: ribosomal RNA, 344 nt
Filed under: Salmonella enterica
Lineage: Bacteria; Pseudomonadati; Pseudomonadota; Gammaproteobacteria; Enterobacterales; Enterobacteriaceae
Description: bacterial LSU rRNA
Rfam family: Bacterial large subunit ribosomal RNA
Source: RNAcentral